Molecule: ribosomal RNA, 384 nt
Filed under: Fragilaria sp. DM-MEX011
Lineage: Eukaryota; Bacillariophyta; Fragilariophyceae; Fragilariales; Fragilariaceae
Description: SSU rRNA
Rfam family: Eukaryotic small subunit ribosomal RNA
Source: RNAcentral
AUUCCAGCUCCAAUAGCGUAUAUUAAAGUUGUUGCAGUUAAAAAGCUCGUAGUUGGAUUUGUGGAGGGCCGUCUGGUUCGCCCUUUUGGGCGGUACUUGGGCAGCUCGUCCAUCCUUGGGUGGAAUCUGUGUGGCAUUAGGUUGUCGUGCAGGGGAUGCCCAUCUUUUACUGUGAAAAAAUUAGAGUGUUCAAAGCAGGCUUAUGCCGUUGAAUAUAUUAGCAUGGAAUAAUGAGAUAGGACCUUGGUACUAUUUUGUUGGUUUGCGCACCGAGGUAAUGAUUAAUAGGGACAGUUGGGGGUAUUCGUAUUCCAUUGUCAGAGGUGAAAUUCUUGGAUUUUUGGAAGACGAACUACUGCGAAAGCAUUUACCAAGGAUGUUUUC